This 564-nucleotide ribosomal RNA is filed under the name uncultured Glomeromycotina. Its description in RNAcentral is "SSU rRNA". It matches the Rfam family "Eukaryotic small subunit ribosomal RNA", at positions 548 to 1114 of the family's 1831-position model. Lineage: Eukaryota; Fungi; Glomeromycota. The record is from RNAcentral.
UUGGAGGGCAAGUCUGGUGCCAGCAGCCGCGGUGAUUCCAGCUCCAAUAGCGUAUAUUAAAGUUGUUGCGGUUAAAAAGCUCGUAGUUGAAUUUCGGGAUCAAAUUGUCGGUCGUGCCUCGGUACGCACUGGUAUUAUUGGUUCCUACCUUCUGAAGAACCGCGAUGUCAUUAAUUUGGUGUCGUGGGGAAUCAGGACUGUUACUUUGAAAAAAUUAGAGUGUUUAAAGCAGGCUUACGCUUGAAUACAUCAGCAUGGAAUAAUGAAAUAGGACGUUUGAUUCUAUUUUGUUGGUUUCUAGGAUUGACGUAAUGAUUAAUAGGGAUAGUUGGGGGCAUUAGUAUUCAAUUGUCAGAGGUGAAAUUCUUGGAUUUAUUGAAGACUAACUACUGCGAAAGCAUUUGCCAAGGAUGUUUUCAUUAAUCAAGAACGAAAGUUAGGGGAUCGAAGACGAUCAGAUACCGUCGUAGUCUUAACCAUAAACUAUGCCGACUAGGGAUCGGAUGAUGUUAAUUUUUUAAUGACUCAUUCGGCGCCUUACGGGAAACCAAAGUGUUUGGGUUC